GAUGAACGCUGGCGGCGUGCUUAACACAUGCAAGUCGAACGGAAAGGCCCAAGCUUGCUUGGGUACUCGAGUGGCGAACGGGUGAGUAACACGUGGGUGAUCUGCCCUGCACUUCGGGAUAAGCCUAGGAAACUGGGUCUAAUACCGGAUAGGACCACAUUUUGGAUGGUGUGGUGGAGAGUUUUUCGGUGUGGGGUGAGCUCGCGGCCUAUCAGCUUGUUGGUGGGGUAAUGGCCUACCAAGGCGUCGACGGGUAGCCGGCCUGAGAGGGUGUACGGCCACAUUGGGACUGAGAUACGGCCCAGACUCCUACGGGAGGCAGCAGUGGGGAAUAUUGCACAAUGGGCGCAAGCCUGAUGCAGCGACGCCGCGUGGGGGAGGACGGCCUUCGGGUUGGAAACUCCUUUCGCUAGGGACGAAGCGUUAUGUGACGGUACCUGGAGAAGAAGCACCGGCUAACUACGUG
This 466-nucleotide ribosomal RNA is filed under the name uncultured bacterium. RNAcentral's name for it is "partial 16S ribosomal RNA". It matches the Rfam family "Bacterial small subunit ribosomal RNA", at positions 28 to 507 of the family's 1533-position model. The record is from RNAcentral.